GAAAAUGAAGAGGACCUUGUCCUACAUCCACCUGCAGGUCAUUGGUUUCGUGAAACAAACUUUCUAUGAGACACGGUUGUGAUGAAGCAUGACUCUUUUUUCCCUCUUUAUUUUCAUGCAUCUAGCUGUUCCUGUACUUGAUUUAUCUGCUCCAAUUUUUUCAGGUAUUCUUGUUUAUUUUGACCAUUUCCAUGGUCUCUACAUAUACAGGUAAAGGGAAGAGUGAUCAAAGGGGCAACAUGCAUGAGAUUUGUAUAGAUGCAUAGGAGAGAUGCUUUGCUGAUGUUACAUACUCAUGCUUUCAGUGAUAGAGGAAGAAUUUAUAUUGCAAUAGAAGGGCCUGCAAAUUUUGUGUAUGAUAAAUUUUGGCCAGUUAUAAGGAUUUAAUACUAGCAUAUCCAGGAAAGGAAUGAUAAAGCUGAGAAUUAUGAGUUUUAUAUAUUGGAAAAUUUAAAGGACAA
This 461-nucleotide long non-coding RNA is filed under the name Elaeis guineensis (African oil palm). RNAcentral describes it as "long non-coding RNA (EGUI_LNC017138)". The record is from RNAcentral. Lineage: Eukaryota; Viridiplantae; Streptophyta; Magnoliopsida; Arecales; Arecaceae.